UCUUGUUAAAAGGCAGAUUCU
RNAcentral lists this microRNA (21 nucleotides) under Pteropus alecto (black flying fox). Its description in RNAcentral is "pal-miR-544-5p". Its record names the gene pal-miR-544-5p. Lineage: Eukaryota; Metazoa; Chordata; Mammalia; Chiroptera; Pteropodidae. RNAcentral also lists the same sequence under 6 other names. The record is from miRBase by way of RNAcentral.